CCUACGGGUGGCAGCAGUGGGGGAUAUUGCACAAUGGGGGAAACCCUGAUGCAGCGACGCCGCGUGGGUGAAGAAGCGCUUCGGCGCGUAAAGCCCUGUCAGCAGGGAAGAUAAUGACGGUAUCUGAAGAAGAAGCACCGGCUAACUACGUGCCAGCAGCCGCGGUAAUACGGAGGGGGCAAGCGUUAUCCGGAUUCACUGGGGGUAAAGGGGGCGGAGGCGGGGAAGCAAGCCAGGUGUGAAAUCCUAUGGCUUAACCACAGAACUGCACUUGAAACUGCGUGUCUAGAGUGCAGGAGGGGUAGGCGGAAUUCCUGGUGUAGGGGUAAAAUGCGUAGAGAUCAGGAGGAAUACUGGUUGCGAAGGCGACCUGCUGGACUGCAACUGACGUUGAGGCGCGAAAGCGUGGGGAGCAAACAGGAUUAGAUACCCGUGUAGUC
RNAcentral lists this ribosomal RNA (440 nucleotides) under uncultured bacterium. Its description in RNAcentral is "partial 16S ribosomal RNA". It matches the Rfam family "Bacterial small subunit ribosomal RNA", at positions 338 to 795 of the family's 1533-position model. The record is from RNAcentral.